GUGCGAGCUUCAGGAGGAUCGUGUGGGGAGGUAGGGCCACCUGUCUGCCAGCCAAACACUCAUUGAGUAUCUGGGGGACUCUGGUGGCCCAGCCAUACCAUACCAGGUUUCUCCCACACAUCCAAUUAACGCAGGAGAAGGAAUCCUGUUCAGCAAGAAGACAGGGAUGGUUAUGAACUGGGAUGGUGUGGAGAACUGCUGCCCUUUUCAGAGUGGAGGAUGAGUGAAACUGAGUUUGUUAACCCUGAAGCUAAUCUAUAAACCUAACCUGAUGAGGAUCGGGUUUUCUUCAGUAAACCCAGAGUUUCAUUCACCCUUCUCUUACUUUUUAAAGCAAAAUAUAUUGGCAAAAUAUGUAU
Danio rerio (zebrafish) is the source of this 359-nucleotide non-coding RNA. The record is from Ensembl. Lineage: Eukaryota; Metazoa; Chordata; Actinopteri; Cypriniformes; Danionidae.